UACGUAGGGGGCUAGCGUUGUCCGGAAUCAUUGGGCGUAAAGCGCGCGUAGGCGGCCCGGUAAGUCCGUUGUAAAAGUCGAAGGCUCAACCUUCGAAAGCCGAUGGAUACUGCCGGGCUAGAGUUCGGAAGAGGCGAGUGGAAUUCCUGGUGUAGCGGUGGAAUGCGCAGAUAUCGAGGAGGAACGAUCGGUGGCGAAGGCGCUGCUGCUGGACCAUAACUGGACACUACAGGGAGCGAAAGAGCUUAGGGGAGCGAACUGGGG
This 264-nucleotide ribosomal RNA is filed under the name uncultured bacterium. RNAcentral describes it as "partial 16S ribosomal RNA". It matches the Rfam family "Bacterial small subunit ribosomal RNA", at positions 524 to 778 of the family's 1533-position model. The record is from RNAcentral.